This is a long non-coding RNA of Impatiens glandulifera, 1434 nucleotides long. RefSeq lists it as uncharacterized. The transcript is spliced from 4 exons. The record is from RefSeq and is a predicted model, not a curated record. NCBI's taxonomy places the organism in Eukaryota, Viridiplantae, Streptophyta, Magnoliopsida, Ericales, Balsaminaceae.
AAAACACCGAGCAAACGAUGUUUCCCUAAGCUCUAGGGUUUCAUCAUCUUCUCCAUUUUCAGAAUUUCAACAACGGCUACUGCAGCAAUCGAUCACCGCGUUUCCGAUCUGACAUCCUCCGGCGAUGCUUGGUCGGCGAAGACGGGAACUUCGAAACAGGGAGAGGGACUGAGACAGUACUACCAGCAACACAUACACGAUCUUCAGCUUCAGGUUCGACAGAAGACUCACAAUCUCAACCGUCUCGAAGCUCAUAGAAAUGAUUUGAAUUCCAAAGGAGCCUGGAUCGAUCAUAUGUUGGUGAAUUUGUCGAAGUCAUAGGGAAAUGUAAAGUCCUUGUGAAGGCAAGUCUCGACUUUCUAUUAACUUCAUUAUAUAGUUCUAUUUCCACUUGAUAGGAUGAGUUUGAUAUAUAUUCACAUUGAUAUCUCAUCCUGGAUUCCACUAGACAUAAGGUUUUUUUUUAUCCGUUCUCUCUUUUAAAGCUACAAUGUAUUGAGGAUUCUUCAGAAGUUGAUCUUUUUUAUUUGGAUUGGAUCUCUUGAUUUGGAAGUAUUGUUUGAUUAUAAUUUAUAGUUUUUACCAUUUUGUGGAUGCUUAUUUUUUACCAGUUUUAAUUAUUCUCAGCUUCAAAUGCUGAAGGCUUUAUACAUUUCUAAGUUAGUUGCUUUGUUAAUUGGAAAAUUUUCAUGCUCAUGAAAUUUUCUUCACUUUUCAAACAUGGGGUUCUACUGUAUGGACCACCUGUUACUGGGAAAACUGGGAAAACGCUAUUGGCCAGAGCAGUAACUCAUCAUACUGAUUGUGCGCUAUUGGGGAGGGAUCCUGUAUGGUCAAGUAACUUUUUGUCAUGGCCAGGAUGACUACUACUUCGAAAGUAAUUGGUUCUAUGAAUUCUAGGUCUAUUGGACCAACCGCCUCGUUUAAUUGUUUGGGAAUUUAAUCGGAGAUCAGCAAGGUUGAAGGGGGUGCUGAAGAACGGAACAUUAAUCUCCAUGUGGGUCAUGUUGAAGCUUCUUCUUCUUCUUCUUUUGGAGAUGAAGGAUGUACAACGAGAUUGAUCAGGUAAAGACGACAAGUUGGUGAGAGUGGCGUGUAAUUGAUUGCACAAAAAGCUUUCCCUCAGUCUUAGGGAAUACGAACAUUAAUAAUAAUAUUUUGGGUACGAAGUGACAGAAGAAGCAGGGAAAGCACACCAUCUUCAUCUUCUUCAGCAGCAGAAACAGCAAGAAGGAGGAGAUUGCUGUAUUCAGCCUUUUUUUUUAUGUAAUAAGUUUAUUCCCACAUUGCUAGAGAAGAAAGAAUAUGGUAUGUAUAUAAUGGAUUGUAAUUAAACAUAUGGCAUGUGACUGUAUCCUGGGCUUGUGAAUUGGAUGUGUGUAUUGGGUAAGUUUUAAAGUUAAGAAUAACGUGUUCCACUUAAUAGGGUGGGUG